RNAcentral lists this ribosomal RNA (220 nucleotides) under uncultured Glomus. RNAcentral describes it as "partial small subunit ribosomal RNA". It matches the Rfam family "Eukaryotic small subunit ribosomal RNA", at positions 591 to 817 of the family's 1831-position model. The record is from RNAcentral. Lineage: Eukaryota; Fungi; Glomeromycota; Glomeromycetes; Glomerales; Glomeraceae.
CCAAUAGCGUAUAUUAAAGUUGUUGCAGUUAAAAAGCUCGUAGUUGAAUUUCGGGAUCAAUUUAUUGGUCGUGCUAUUGUACGUACUGGUAUUAUUGAUUCCUACCUUCUGACGAACCAUGAUGUCAUUAAUUUGGUGUCAUGGGGAAUCAGGACUGUUACUUUGAAAAAAUUAGAGUGUUUAAAGCAGGCUCACGCUUGAAUACAUUAGCAUGGAAUAA